GACGAACGCUGGCGGCGUGCUUAACACAUGCAAGUCGAACGGAAAGGCCCUGCUUUUGUGGGUUGCUCGAGUGGCGAACGGGUGAGUAACACGUGAGUAACCUGCCCUUGACUUUGGGAUAACUUCAGGAAACUCGGGCUAUUACCGGAUAUGAUCUUCUGCUGCAUGGUGGUCGUUGGAAAGUUUCGGCGGUUGGGGCUGGACUCGCGGCUUAUCAGCUUGUUGGUGUGGUAGUGGCUUACCAAGGGUUUGACGGGUAGGCGGCAUGGGAGGGUGACCGGCGACAAGAGGACUGAGAUACGGACCAGACUCCUACGGGAGGCAGCAGGGGGAAAUAUUACACAAUGGGGGGAAGCCUGAUGCAGAAACGCCGCGUGCGGGAUGACGGCCUUCGGGUUGUGAACCGAUUUCGCAUGUGACGAAGAGUGAGUGACGGUAAUGGGUAAAGAAGCACCGGCUAACUACGUG
Molecule: ribosomal RNA, 468 nt
Filed under: uncultured bacterium
Lineage: Bacteria
Description: partial 16S ribosomal RNA
Rfam family: Bacterial small subunit ribosomal RNA
Source: RNAcentral